UACUAAAGUUGUUGCGGUUAAAAAGCUCGUAGUUGAAACUGUGUCCCGCGGCGGCGUCUACCGUUCCGGUACGACGGUCGUGUCUGCGGGGCUUCUCGCCGGUGCGCGUCUGUCUGCGGGCGGAGAGGGUUCGCNNNNNCCCCCGCGCCAAGGGGAACUCUCGCGGCUGUUUACUUUGAACAAAUUAGAGUGCUCAAAGCGGGCUGAUUAUCGCCUGAAUAUUGCGUGCAUGGAAUAAUGGAAUAGGACCUCGGUUCUGUUUUGUUGGCUUUCUGAUACCAGAGGUAAUGAUUAAUAGGGACAACUGGGGGCAUUCGUAUUGCGACGUUAGAGGUGAAAUUCUUGGAUCGUCGCAAGACGACUAAAGCGAAAGCAUUUNCCAAAGGUGUUUUCAUUAAUCAAGAACGAAAGUUAGAGGUUCGAAGGCGAUUAGAUACCGCUGUAGUUCUAACCAUAAACGAUGCCAGCUAGCGAUCCGCCGGAAUUACUAACUUGAUUCGGUGGGCAGCUCCC
Molecule: ribosomal RNA, 513 nt
Filed under: Chimarra feria
Lineage: Eukaryota; Metazoa; Arthropoda; Insecta; Trichoptera; Philopotamidae
Description: bacterial SSU rRNA
Rfam family: Eukaryotic small subunit ribosomal RNA
Source: RNAcentral